Coregonus clupeaformis (lake whitefish) is the source of this 1300-nucleotide long non-coding RNA. RefSeq lists it as uncharacterized. The transcript has 3 exons. The record is from RefSeq and is a predicted model, not a curated record. Lineage: Eukaryota; Metazoa; Chordata; Actinopteri; Salmoniformes; Salmonidae.
CGAUGCAGUGCCUUAGACCACUGCGCCAUUCUCAGUGCCUGUGAGAUAAAAAGCCAGACCCUUUUUGGUAUCUUCAGCUUUCCAUACACUGGGUGAGAGACUACACUCGACUGUUGACUGCAAAAAGCUGAAGAAUUAAGGAGACGGGAGUUAAAGAAACAACAGUGACCAAACACCACCAUGGAAAAUGACACGGCCGAUGAUCUCCUGUAUCCUGACGAUUACGAUUACCGCCCUGACGAUGACCAUUACCGCCCUGAAUCAGAGGAUAUUGCAGUGGCAGUGCUUCUUCUCCUUGGUAUUUUCCCAAUCCUCCCUGCCCUUGGUUGGAUUAUCUGGUCCUUCUAUCGUAAGCGCUGGGACAAAAAACAGGUCUCAUUCUCUUUCGUGUCCCUCCUCCUCGCUGACACUCUGCAGCUGAUUGCUUCACCUUUCCUUCUGGAAACGGUGCUAACCGGGGUUCCCUGUUGGCAUGCUAGUUGGUGGUGCAUUACAGUAUACGUACUGUUCUCAGUGACAAGAUUCAACGGUCUGUUCUUUCACCUGCUGGUUGCUCUGAACAAGAUCAUCUCUCUGAGACAUCCACAAGUUGUCAGUCCACAAGUUGUCAGUCCACAAGUUGUCAGUCCACAAGUUGUCAGUCCAGUGGUUACAUUUUUUUUAGCGAUAUGGUCUCUGUGGUACUCUACAUUUUUUUUGCAGUUUUGGCACAUGUGUUUGAUAUUCGCUAUGAUAUUUUCUAUGGUGUUAAUAUUAUAUUUGGAUUGGUUGCUUUGGGCACAGCUGUUGCAGCAUGUGUGAAAGCUCUCAAACCCUUCCCAACAUUGAACCCCACCAAAGAUAAAUGUCAGAGUUUGAAGGUAUUAGCAGUGGCCAUGUUUACUUUAGUGAUACUCUAUGUUCCCGAGUUCCUCUACUGGAUAAUAUAUUACCACAAACCUGCUUUGACUGAGGGGUUUAUUUAUGUUGUCCACUACCUGCCGUGCCUGAGAACCAUAACUGACUCUGUCCUGUGUUGGUUUGUCUGCAUGGACAGGGAGCAUCCUAGUGGGCAAAUCUCAACUCAGAGGUCCUUGGAUCUCGCAUUAGAUUUUUCAGAAAUGGAGCAUGUAGUGGGACCUCCAAUACAGGAGGGUGAUGUGAUAUGAGGAAUCAAGAAAAGAUACAUUGAGAUAAAGCCCAGUACCGAGGGCUAUUUGAGGGCUAAUAAUCAUAUGAAGGAGUGGAGGGUGGUGGGAGGAGCUAUAGGAGGACGGGCUCAUUGUAAUGGCUGGGAUGGUAUUAAUGGAACAGAGUCAAG